RNAcentral lists this ribosomal RNA (162 nucleotides) under Tragopogon x mirabilis. Its description in RNAcentral is "5.8S ribosomal RNA". The stretch from base 71 to 162 matches the Rfam family "5.8S ribosomal RNA", at positions 1 to 92 of the family's 154-position model. From Rfam's summary of the family: 5.8S ribosomal RNA (5.8S rRNA) is a component of the large subunit of the eukaryotic ribosome. Lineage: Eukaryota; Viridiplantae; Streptophyta; Magnoliopsida; Asterales; Asteraceae. The record is from RNAcentral.
AGAAGGUUGUACCCGGUUUUUGCCCCGUUCGCGGUGUGCAUGCUGGUUGUGACCUCUUUGAAACAAAAACGACUCUCGGCAACGGAUAUCUCGGCUCACGCAUCGAUGAAGAACGUAGCAAAAUGCGAUACUUGGUGUGAUUUGCAGAAUCCCGUGAACCAU